This 331-nucleotide unclassified non-coding RNA is filed under the name soil metagenome. Its description in RNAcentral is "partial contains 5.8S ribosomal RNA, internal transcribed spacer 2, and large subunit ribosomal RNA". The stretch from base 1 to 120 matches the Rfam family "5.8S ribosomal RNA", at positions 35 to 154 of the family's 154-position model. The record is from RNAcentral.
GAUGAAGAACGUAGCGAAAUGCGAUAAGUAAUGUGAAUUGCAGAAUUCAGUGAAUCAUCGAAUCUUUGAACGCACAUUGCGCCCGCCAGUAUUCUGGCGGGCAUGCCUGUCCGAGCGUCAUUUCAACCAUCAAGCCCCGGGCUUGUGUUGGGGACCUGCGUCCGACGCAGGCCCUGAAAACCAGUGGCGGGCUCGCUGUCCACACCGAGCGUAGUAACUAACCUCGCUAUGGAGUGGCGCGGGCGCCUGCCGUAAAACCCCCAAUUUCACAGGUUGACCUCGGAUCAGGUAGGAAUACCCGCUGAACUUAAGCAUAUCAAUAAGCGGAGGA